AAAAAUAAUAAUAAACAGGACAGACCGACAAACGUGACGGUAAAGAUUGCUGUUUAAUACUUAGACAUGUGUAUAUAGGGUGUUAUUAUGUGAACCAUGUGCACUCAUAUGCAUAAGUACGGCCGAUCAUCUACAGACAUUUCCUUACAGUUAGCUUGAGGCCAGCGCCUGGGCUCACCUCCCUGCAUGAUUUCUGCAGCCUGUCCCAAGACAGUGAGGCUUCAGUGCUCCUGCUGACAGGGCAGAAAUGGGUGAAUGUAAUUAUGUGGCCGCUGCAUUGGAGGAAUCCAUCACCUGCACAGCAGCAGGGUAAUGUCCUGCUGCUGACUAACCCAUGGGUUUAAAUCAGAGCCUGGACGCUUCUGGUGACAACCUGCUGCCCAUCACUGUCCGAGCACGCACGAAGGCAAACACACGUACCAGUGCAAGUUUAUGUAUGCAGAAUAAUUUAUAUGGUCCACACGUGAUGUCUUCUUCACACACACACACAUCAUUGUGCAUCACACACACACACACAAAUGCAUGAAAGGAGUCUUUAAUCUAAAGAAGAGAGGUUGGCAUUCAAACUUCAUCCCAUUAUUUGCCACAUAUGGCGACUUUGCAGCCACAGUAAAUCUCCAAAUGAGCUGAACCCAAAAUAGAGAUCUGACUCAGAGUCAGUCUAUCAUCACCCUGCCAUAUACUGUAUAAUAGCUAAUAUAAUUCAGGGAUUUCACUAUUAUUUAUGUAGCUCAGCAGAGCGUAAGACCUAUUAUUCACAUUCUGUUAUCCAUUAAGUGACACUGUAGCUUAAUAAGCAAUGUCAGUGAGCUGUAGAGAGGAGUGUCUCCAAAUUUGCUAAAGCUUUUAGCAUUGUGAUUAAAUUGUGUAUUAAUGGAAAAUAGUAAUAGGAGCAUCAUUUUAGACCCAGAAAAAAAUAACUAAACAUAAGUGUUUAAUAUGGGCCUUAUUUUCUCAAUAUGGUUUAACUAGCAUUUUGCUAAAGUUGAUGACAGCUGUCACAGUACAUAGCAUCAUGGCACACAACAUGUCCCAUAAUAAAAUAAGGAAUAUCACUUUCCUAGCCUGUAAAUGCUUAGCCCAGUCCAUGAGUCAGCCUGUGGUAAUUUCACUAAACUCGUUAUAUGGCUCUGAUGUUGAUUUGUCUUGUCUUUGCUGCAUCAGAUUGACAAAUAACUGUGGAUUUCAUGGCACCUGUGCCCUUUCUCUCUCAUGGAGGUGUUGGAUUAAUUUUGGUUCAUAUAUAUGUCAUCAGUAGUUGAGUACUUUUCCGUUAUUUCUGUGUCAGCUUGAACCACUUGAGUCAUGGAAGCUCUGUCAGCCUCUGCCUUGAGCGAGUCAAACCCUAAAGAUCUACAAGUAGAGGGGACUACUGUGAGUCUCCAUCAGCCGUCACCCAGAUGAAUAAGAUGACGAAGCUUCUGAGGAGACAGGCAGAGAGGGCGUGGGGAGA
Molecule: long non-coding RNA, 1453 nt
Organism: Morone saxatilis (striped sea-bass)
Lineage: Eukaryota; Metazoa; Chordata; Actinopteri; Moronidae
Exons: 3
Source: RefSeq, a predicted model, not a curated record